This is a long non-coding RNA of Orcinus orca (killer whale), 1429 nucleotides long. RefSeq lists it as uncharacterized. The transcript is spliced from 3 exons. Lineage: Eukaryota; Metazoa; Chordata; Mammalia; Artiodactyla; Delphinidae. The record is from RefSeq and is a predicted model, not a curated record.
AUAAGCCCCAAGUCCUCACCUUGGCACCCAACCUCCCCAGUAGGGUUCCACGCUGUUUUUCCUCCCCUCUUAUUGCCUGGUUCCCACGAAUGUGAAUCCCUGCCCCAGCUGAGCUGGUCUUUCGGCUCCUGACCCUGCUUUGCAGUUGUCCCGGUUACCUUUUCUGGGUUCCUCCACUCAAAUCUCAUCCAUCCUUAAGCCCAGCUCCACACUUUCUCCUCCAGCAGGAAGAUUUCUGGACUCCCCAACCCGCAGAAAUGGACCUUAUUAGCUCUUGGUGCCAACACUCUUGGUCCAGCGUACACACCAGUGGGACCCACAGAGUGUCCUUUGUGAGCUUCUCUCCAGCUAGACUGCAAGUCCCAGGAGAUCAGGGAGACUGGCACAUUCUUAGGGUCAGGUCCCAUGGUGCGGGCACACGGUAAUGCAUCUGAGUGUUUCUGGAAAGGAUGCUCCUAGUGUACCAGAAGGGGAAGAGGCAGAAGCUUCCAGGCUCCAGGGAGAACCUGGGGUCCACAGCUCUUACCAGCUGGAACCCUUCUGUGACAUCACAGUAGGGACAGGGGCCCUACUAUGACGCAUACCAAGUAGACUUCUGUGGAGUCAAAAAGACACUUCAGUAGGUGGGAAAAGAGAAUUCCCCCUCUGUCCCCAGUUACAUCUUUCCUCUCUUCCCCUCUCACUUUUCAGUUCCAGACUAUAUAACAGUGAGUCUGACUGAUUCCCCUACUGGAGAGAGAAUGAAGAGAAACUCUGUUGUAGAAUCUGUCAAGUCCUCAAUCCAGGAGGAAGAGAGCUUUCUUCAGAAAGAUGCAGAGAAAGCCUGGCACCCCAAGGAGUCGAGAUGGGAGGCAGAGGGCAGCCCGGGGGCUCUGCCCUGUCACUCAUCAGGGAAUAGGCUCUGCUUCUCUGUGCCCCACGCCUCUGAGUCCUGCCUCUGUGGGUGCAGCCUGAGGACCAAGGCCGUGUUACACCCCCGGCCCCCUCCAGUCUCCCUAGCCUCUCAGGCGCUCCCCAACUUGCCAUCAGGAAGGAAGCAGCUGCCUUCUCCGGGGAUUGUCUCAUUCAAAUCUCAACUCUCCCGGAGUUCUCCAAAGCCCAAGGCCAAGGCUAAGUCCCAGCUGCUCUCUCGGGACAGGUCAAGAGCUUCCUGCAGUGCCACGCCACUACGCAGGCCGGUACCCAUGGGCGUGUGGCCUCAGGGAUUUCUUAGCCCAUUCUCCAAGUGCUGGCCAGAGGAGCCCCUGCACACCUAUAUCCCACUGGGAGGGAGCCACUUCCCAAGCCAGGAAGCCAUAGCCCCAGUGAUGUCACUUGUGGAGGGUGGCAAACCCCAGUUCUCUCUACCAUUCUGGUUUAAAUAAAAAUACAUGUAGUCACUUAUGGUCUUUCUCUUGUGUCUGCUGAAAGCAUGGUAAGGGUCUGUUUU